AGCGGCCCCUCUGCCUCAG
This 19-nucleotide non-coding RNA is filed under the name Mus musculus (house mouse). The record is from RNAcentral. Lineage: Eukaryota; Metazoa; Chordata; Mammalia; Rodentia; Muridae.